UUAACUCUUAACUGAAGUGAAAAAAAAAAAAAAAAAAAAAAAAGAAAUCUGUUCUUAUCAGUUUAAUAUCUGAUACGCGCCCUAUCUGGGUGCCAUAUAUUAAAUGGAUUUUUGAAACAGGGAGAUGGAAGAAGAGCUUGCUCUGUCCACUUCACGCAUUGACCUGGUAUUGCAGUACCUCCAGGACCGGUGCACCCCUC
Molecule: small nuclear RNA, 200 nt
Organism: Bombina bombina (fire-bellied toad)
Lineage: Eukaryota; Metazoa; Chordata; Amphibia; Anura; Bombinatoridae
Product: U2 spliceosomal RNA
Exons: 1
Source: RefSeq, a predicted model, not a curated record